Molecule: ribosomal RNA, 253 nt
Filed under: uncultured bacterium
Lineage: Bacteria
Description: partial 16S ribosomal RNA
Rfam family: Bacterial small subunit ribosomal RNA
Source: RNAcentral
UACGGAGGAUGCAAGCGUUAUCCGGAAUGAUUGGGCGUAAAGGGUCCGCAGGUGGCAAUGUAAGUCUGCUGUCAAAGAAUGAGGCUUAACCUCAUCAAGGCAGUGGAAACUACAUAGCUAGAGUACGGUCGGGGUAGAAGGAAUUCCUGGUGUAGCGGUGAAAUGCGCAGAUAUCAGGAGGAACACCAAUUGCGAAGGCAGCUCGCUGGGACGUUACUGACGCUGAGACGCGAAAGCGUGGGGAGCAAACAGG